UAUCAUUUCUUCCACAUCUUGAUAUCUAGGGCUAUCUCCUCACAACACGAAUCUUGACAUCUCCCUCCUCCACUAUUCCACUAUCAGCUCCGGAUAGAUCUUAUCAUGGUAUCAGAGCUCAGCAAGGGUCUAUGCUGGUAAGUAGAAUUGGGUUUUUUUACUAUUUGUUACGAUUUGGGGAUUUCAUUGCAACUUGUGAUUUGGGCAUUUUAGCUGCAUUCUGUGAUUUACAUUUUGGGGAUCCAUACAAUCAAUGAUUUCCGAUUUUUAUACGAUUUUUGUUUUUUAUUCCAUCUUUGAGUGAUUAAACAAAUGGAAAAAGGUAAGACCAAGACAUAAAAUGUAGAAUGGAGUUCCUUUGAGCAGGAACAACCAAUUGACACAAAUAAGAAGAACGAUGCUGAGGGAAAAUAGUUAAAGGAGAUCGAAGAAAGAAAAAAUUAGUGUUGAAAAUUGCUCACAACAAAGCAUUAAUUCUUUUGGAAUUCCGUACACAACUGAGGGUUCUGGUGCUCGUCUUGUUUCAAAAGUGUUGACUGGAGAAGAAAAUUAUUACACAUGGUACACAUCAAUGUGAGUGACGUUGGUGGCUAGAGGAAAGCUUGGCUAUGUUACUGGAGAGCUGGGCAGACAUCUAAAGGGAAACUACUACAAAGUCUAAGAAUUGGGAAUAAAAUAAUGGUUUGGUUCUAAGUUGGAUAUAUAAUGUUGUCUCUGUGGAUAUUGGUACAACCCUAAUGUUUAGUGGUAUCGCAUCACUAAUUUGGAAAGGAUUUGGAGUAGAGAUUCAAGCAAGCAAAUGUGUCCCAACCUUUUCAGAUGAAAGCAGAUAUUACACAUCUCAGUCAGGAACAAGAUACAAUGGUAGUUUACUAUGGGAAGCUUAAGUCAUUGUGGGACAGACUUGACUCUUGUGUGCCCAAACCCUACUGUAAAUGUGGAAAAUGUGUUUGUGGUGUGCUAUAUGAGGUUGUCAAAAUACAAAACAAUGAUAGGGUCAUCUAAUUUUUAUUAAGUCUGAAUGGGAACUAUAUCAACAUAAUAUGGGACAGAUCCUAUCUGCUGAAAAGUUACCAAACUUGGCCAAAACAUAUGCUCUAGUCUACCAAGAAGAGAAACAGAAAGGUGCUUAUAAGAGGAAGACCAAUGAGGUAUCUGCAUAUCAAGUAUCUGUGGAGACAACAAAGAAGAACAUAAACAAACAAUGCAAGAAAGAAAGAAUCACAGUGAGCAAGAGUGGAAAGCAAUUGGACACCAGUACCUUUUGUGAGCAUUGUAACAUGUAUAGACAUGUUAAAGAAGGAUGUUAUAGGCUGAUUGAUUUCCCAAACAAGACAGGGAAAAUUCACAAGGUGAAUCAGACAUCAACUGGUGGUGGUGAAGCAGGUCAGAGAGAAGAAGGAAAUCAUGAUGGAUUCACAGUAGAGCAAUUCAAGACACUCCAGAAACUCAUAGAGAAAGGAUCUUCAAGUAUGAUAAAUUCAAGAAUUGUAUUCUGCAAUAAAAUUUCAAUUUUUAAAAAUAAAACCAAGACUGAAUUAAAUAUAAUAGAUUCAGGUGCGGCUGAACAAAUGCAUGACUGGAAACUAUAGUCUCUUGACAAAUGUGAGAAGUUACAUGCACCCCACUAGUGUAGUGGGGCAUCAUUUAUGGUGAAUAAAAUAGGUGAUAUUACAAUAUCACCAACCCUAAUUUAUGGCACAGGCAAAUGCAAGGACAAAGAACUCACCAUGCUGGGGACUGACGUGGGCGUAUACGGCAGCGAUAGUAUGGGGAAUCUGGACUGAAAGGAACAGGAGAGUGCAUGAGGACAGACGCACGAGCCCACAGGAGAUAGGAAGGAGGACAGUGCAGGAUGUGACAGCGACAUUCAAGGUGGACAGAUAUAAAGCAAAAGGUACGAGAAGGGAACAGAGAUGGAUGGAUAUAUGGACUGGAGGUGCCCAGUUGGCGAGAACGUGAAACUUGUCUUAAUUGUUUAAUAUUUGUUGCUGAGUCUGUAAUCUUAUUUUAAUAGGAACUUGUAUUAAGGGAAACAAAAACUGAGGUAUGUGGUGGGAUGGGGUUCAACUAAAAAUAGAACCCUGUCUUGUCAAAUACUAUGGGGGAACAUUUGGUGAAUGGAAUGACCUAAAAAGUCAUAUCCAUAUAGAGGUCUAUCCCCCAGGGGGUGGACUCUAUUAUCAAAGUAGAAACGAUAUGUGGAGUCACUUAUGUGUAGUAGACCGAAAGGUAAUGGCAGAGUUUUCCCUUGGCAAAGGAAAAGAUGCCUUGAGCACACCAGGGUUUUUACACUCCCCAUUGCCUUAGGCCCACUACGUAAGAACGAUGAGGCAUAGAUCGUUCUAGGAAACAUCGAGUCAGUUCCCCAAAGGUUGUGAAGGCCCAAACGAUCGUAAGAUCCGGGGUCGGAACAAUGCGGAGGGUGUGGGGUGGAUCGCAUGUGAUCACACCCUUUUUUUUGUUUCGGAAUCUAUAUUAUCAGUUGAUUUUGCUUCAAAAAAAA
This 2506-nucleotide long non-coding RNA is filed under the name Zostera marina. RNAcentral describes it as "long non-coding RNA (ZMAR_LNC000279)". Lineage: Eukaryota; Viridiplantae; Streptophyta; Magnoliopsida; Alismatales; Zosteraceae. The record is from RNAcentral.